RNAcentral lists this ribosomal RNA (491 nucleotides) under uncultured bacterium. Its description in RNAcentral is "partial 16S ribosomal RNA". It matches the Rfam family "Bacterial small subunit ribosomal RNA", at positions 29 to 507 of the family's 1533-position model. The record is from RNAcentral.
AGUGAACGCUGGCGGUAGGCCUAACACAUGCAAGUCGAACGCAACCACGUAAAGGCCUGGCCUUUCGGGUUGCGGGUGGGGGGAGGGGUGAGAAAUACACGGGAUCUACUUUUUCGGUGGGGGUAAAGGAGGGAAAACUAAGGUUAUAACCGCUUCGAACUACGGGUGAAAGCCAGGGGUCUUCGGACCUUUCCGGGAUGGAUGAGCCGAUGUCGGAUUAGCUAGUUGGCGGGGUAAAGGCCCACCAAGGCGACGAUCCGUAGCUGGUCUGAGAGGAUGAUCAGCCACACUGGAACUGAGACACGGUCCAGACUCCUACGGGAGGCAGCAGUGGGGAAUAUUGGACAAUGGGCGCAAGCCUGAUCCAGCCAUACCGCGUGGGUGAAGAAGGCCUUCGGGUUGUAAAGCCCUUUUGUUGGGAAAGAAAAGCAGCAGGUUAAUACCCCGCUGUUCUGACGGUACCCAAAGAAUAAGCACCGGCUAACUUCGUG